CAGACCAAAACGAAGGCUUUCUGCAGAUUUCAACCGCAGCCAUGGCGAUGCAAGCUGGAAUGGGGUUUUCCAAGAUCAUAAUCUUAGUCGGAGCAGGGUACACUGGUACGUUGAUGCUGAAAAAUGGUAAACUUUCUGAUGUACUGGGCGAACUUCAGGCUUUGGUGAAAGGAUAUGAAGAAAAGCAGGGGGGUGGAGCUGAAAUUGAUCAUUCGGAUGCAAUUGCUGCCCAGGUACUACUCUCGUAAUAAGCUGUUUAUGCUUCAACUAGACUUGGACCUAUUCUCUUCGAUAUAUGUUGUUAUG
Molecule: long non-coding RNA, 306 nt
Organism: Cynara cardunculus var. scolymus (artichoke)
Lineage: Eukaryota; Viridiplantae; Streptophyta; Magnoliopsida; Asterales; Asteraceae
Exons: 3
Source: RefSeq, a predicted model, not a curated record